Molecule: ribosomal RNA, 297 nt
Filed under: uncultured bacterium
Lineage: Bacteria
Description: partial 16S ribosomal RNA
Rfam family: Bacterial small subunit ribosomal RNA
Source: RNAcentral
GACGAACGCUGGCGGCGUGCUUAACACAUGCAAGUCGAACGGAGCACUUCGGUGCUUAGUGGCGAACGGGUGAGUAACGCGUGAGGAACCUGCCUUUCAGUGGGGGACAACAGUUGGAAACGACUGCUAAUACCGCAUAAGCGCACAGUGCUGCAUGGCACAGUGUGAAAAACUCCGGUGGUAUGAGAUGGACCCGCGUCUGAUUAGCUAGUUGGUGAGGUAACGGCUCACCAAGGCGACGAUCAGUAGCCGACCUGAGAGGGUGAUCGGCCACAUUGGGACUGAGACACGGCCCAA